UUCUUGUUAAUUCCAUGGAAAGAGCAGCAUUGCAGUGAUACAAAUUAAUGCCUCACAUCAUUACAGAUAAUUUAUAAAAGACAUUCCAUUUGAUAGUCUAAAUCAUACAUUAAAAUUGGUUCGACCAAACAUAACACAACCUUGUUUCCGAUCCCAAAAGACAACCACCGAGUAAAAGUUAAAUGUGAUGUAAAACUGAACUCCAUGACUGCAGUACAGGCAGAUGCCAUGCCAUCUGCUAAUCGAAAUCAUACAUAGAAACUGGUUCUGCCUAACAUAUAGGAUAACCUUAUUUAUGAUCCCAAAAGAUAACAGAUGAAACUAAACUCCUUCUGACUAGCACAAUUUCACACACAGAAUGUGCAAGAAUCAGCAGGUAGAGGAGCAUCUCUCUGGAAGUUAGGGGCUAACGACCUAACUACAGCUCUCUACCCAAGAUAUUAACAUCGUUGAUUAAUAAAUCCUGCAGUCAGAAAAUAAGUUUAGUUAGAUGCAACCUUAUCUAACUCCGUACUGCUAGUACAUUAUAUAUGUGCAAAGCCUGAAAAACUUAGAGACAAGAUAGUAAAUGCCAAAACGAAAGCAGGCUCGGUAAAAAAUGGGCAGGCAUCAUGCAGCAAAAGAAUGAAAAGGCUUCUUACUUCAUUAAACAUGUUCAUGGUAGAAAUGUCAUCCCUCGAAAAACCAUCAUUAACAGCUUCCCAGAAAUCAUCACUGUCGAUAUUCAGUUGACCAUCAUCAGCUUCCUGAUUAGCUGUGCCUUGUGAUUGCGCAGAGAGGAUGCCACCUGCACCACCAUCAUUCAACAUCUGAGUUGACGUGACAGAAAUACCCAUCUGAGGGUCAGGCAUUGCAGCACCGAUGCUUGAAGCACUACCAAGUGCGAAGUUACCAUUCAGCAUCUCCACUGAGCUUGUGUUGUUGUUGAUUGCGAAGUUACCAUUCGACAUCUCCAUCGAGCUUGUGUUGUUGUUGAUUGCAAAGUUACCAUUCGACAUCUCCACCGAGCUCAUGAUGUUGUUGAUUGCGAAGUUACCAUUCGGCAUCUCCCCCGAGCUCAUGUUGUUGUUGAUUAAGAAGUUACCAUUCGGCAUCUUCACCGAGCUCAUGUUGAUUGCCAAAUGACCGUUCAGCAUCUCCACCGAGCUUAUGUUGUUGUUGAUUGAUAAAUCCUGCAGUCAGAAAACAAGUUUAGUUAGAUGCAACCUUAUCUAACUCCGUACUGCUAGUACAUUUGCAUAUGUGCAAAGCCUGAAAAACUUAGAGACAAGAUAGUAAAUGCCAAAACGAAAGCAGGCUGGGUAAAAAUGGGCAGGCAUCAUGCAGGAAAAGAAAGGGAAAGCUUCUUACCUCAUUAAGCAUGUUGAUCGUGGUAAGAAUGUCAUCCAUUGAAAAACUAUCAACAACAGCUUCCAAGAAAUCAUCACUGUCGAUAUUCAGUUGACCAUCAACAGCUUCCUGAUCAGCUGUGCCUUGUGCUUGCGCAGGGAGAACGCCGCCUGCACCACCAUCAUUCAGCAUCUGAGUUGGCGCGGCAGAAAUGCCCAUCUGAAGGUCAGGCAUUGCAGCACGGAUGCUUGAAGCGCUACCAAGUGCGAAGUCACCAUUCGGCAUCUCCACCAAGCUUGUGCCGCCAUCCAUUGCGAGGUAACCAUUCAGCAUCUCUACCCAGCCUGUGUUGUCGUUGAUUGCGAGGUCACCAUUCAACAUCUCUACCGAGCUUGUGUUGCCGUCGAUUGCGAAGUCACCAUUCAACACCUGUACUGAGCUUGUGCUGUUGUUGAUGGCUACACCGGCGUCGAACGACGACGCCAUCUCCUCACCGGAACCUGCCAUCGAUGUUGUGCCGUUUACGAAAGCUGCUAUUUGGUUCUUCAGGUUGUCGAGACUCAUCGGUGUUUGGCCAGCUAUCCGGCCAGCUGGUGAGGCUGCAAGGCCUGUGAGCUGGUUGAUGUUGGGGAUGUUCCAAUAGUCACGGCUAAGAUCAGGAUACUUCACAGCUGCUUGCCAGGAGUUGCCUAGGCGGUUCCCGGCGUCUCCAUACGGACUCCUCUGAACCGGAGGCUGGAACCCCAGUAGGCGAGAUGGCCGCACUGAAAACUGAUUCACCGGCAAAGAGGUCCCACCAUUGUGUCUAUUUCCGUCCGCAAGGGAGCUGCCACUACCCUGAAAGCCUCUGUUUGCCCCCAGUAGAUUGCCACGCAGCAUGCCCAUGUAGGAUGACUCGCCGCGGGAAUGGCUGGAACCAAAUUCGUCCCACGCCCCUGUGCCAUUUGUCCUGUUUGCAUAUGCGCUGGAGGAAGAGGGCCGCUGUCUCGAACCCGGCAGCAGCCACGGCAACCAAGGCCUGAAGAGCAUGCUGCCACCAUGGACACCGGCACCACGCGCUCUGAACGCGGACGGAUGAUCCAUCCUUGUGGGGAGACUGGCAAGGUUCCAAGAGGCAGGGUUUGUGGACGGCCGAUAUAUCCCAUGUCCAUGGAAAUACUUGAUACCUUCUCCCCAGCUUUCAGCAACAAGCAAAUUGCGCCUCUCGUCUGCCCCGUCCUCGGUCCUUGCGAGAUGCAUCCUGUACUUCUGAAAUCAAAAGAUAGGCGAUCACAUAGAUGAGAGGCGCAUCAUGGAUAUUUUUACAUUUUGUUUUUGAUUGUUCUAAAGACGUAUAUAUGGAGAACAAAUCAAAGGAACUGAAGUGCUGCAUGGCUCCUAAAACUCUAGAAAUCAUAGGCAUGCAUUAUAUCCGACGUGUCACAUUUUCACAGAAGAAUAAUUACAAGGUAACUAAGACAAAAGAAAAGGAAACAAGCCUAUCCAGUUCCAGUUUUUGGGCAGCACUAUGAGAUAUGAACACAACCCAGCAACAUGGCAAAUAUGACAUAGUACGAGAUAGGAAUUCAAUGCAUACAAAAGUCAGGUAUAAUUAAGGUGGUGGAUGUGUUUCUGUAUUUUGUAUCAGCUUGAUGCAUCAAUAUACUGCCUAUCAUUUAUAAAAAAAGUAUACACGAGGGGUAGAAAGUAAACCUGCAGAUGACUCCCAACACUCUCUCUGGAGACGUUAUCCACAUUCAUGGCGGCCAGUAUCUUCGAUGGA
Molecule: long non-coding RNA, 3091 nt
Filed under: Triticum aestivum (bread wheat)
Lineage: Eukaryota; Viridiplantae; Streptophyta; Magnoliopsida; Poales; Poaceae
Description: long non-coding RNA (TAES_LNC016483)
Source: RNAcentral